AUCGCUGCCUGUAGCUUUCUCUUUUGUGUUUGCUGUUUCCCCACCCAUGUCCCUGUUUAUCUGUGGAGUCAUAACACAGUGACAAGAAGAACAGCAAGAAUAACAUGUGGAAGGAAGUAAUCUGCAAAACAGGCGUCCCUGCCAGAGGAUGGAUCCACCCAGAAGCUGCCUGCAACACUGGGAGACCAGUUUGCCCAGCUGACCCGGUCUCCAUCAGCACUUUACACCCCUAUGCAGGCUGAUGCACAUCAAAAUCAAUUGAAAACAUCUCUGCUACCCCAUCUCUGGAAUUCAUUAUGUGAGCAUCCAAUUCUUUCUGCAAUAUGUGUUCUUAUCUUAGGACAAACAACAUUGGCCAU
This is a long non-coding RNA of Neopelma chrysocephalum (saffron-crested tyrant-manakin), 359 nucleotides long. RefSeq lists it as uncharacterized. The record is from RefSeq and is a predicted model, not a curated record. The transcript has 3 exons. Lineage: Eukaryota; Metazoa; Chordata; Aves; Passeriformes; Pipridae.